UACAGAGACUGCAAGCGUUAUUCGGAUUCACUGGGCGUAAAGGGUGCGCAGGCGGCCAAGUGUGUGAGGCGUGAAAGCCCGGGGCUUAACCCCGGAAUUGCACCUCAAACUACAUGGCUAGAGCAUUGGGGAGGGUAGCAGAAUUCAUGGUGUAGCAGUGAAAUGCGUAGAUAUCAUGAGGAAUACCAGAGGCGAAGGCGGCUACCUGGACAAUUGCUGACGCUCAGGCACGAAAGCGUGGGGAGCAAACAGG
RNAcentral lists this ribosomal RNA (253 nucleotides) under uncultured bacterium. Its description in RNAcentral is "partial 16S ribosomal RNA". It matches the Rfam family "Bacterial small subunit ribosomal RNA", at positions 524 to 776 of the family's 1533-position model. The record is from RNAcentral.